RNAcentral lists this ribosomal RNA (253 nucleotides) under uncultured bacterium. Its description in RNAcentral is "partial 16S ribosomal RNA". It matches the Rfam family "Bacterial small subunit ribosomal RNA", at positions 524 to 776 of the family's 1533-position model. The record is from RNAcentral.
UACGUAGGGUGCAAGCGUUGUCCGGAAUUAUUGGGCGUAAAGAGCUCGUAGGCGGUCUGUUGCGUCGGCUGUGAAAACCCAGGGCUCAACUCCGGGCCUGCAGCCGAUACGGGCAGACUAGAGUUCGGCAGGGGAGACUGGAAUUCCUGGUGUAGCGGUGAAAUGCGCAGAUAUCGGGAGGAACACCUAUGGCGAAGGCAGCUCGCUGGGACGUUACUGACGCUGAGACGCGAAAGCGUGGGGAGCAAACAGG